Long non-coding RNA from Triticum dicoccoides, 620 nucleotides. RefSeq lists it as uncharacterized. NCBI's taxonomy places the organism in Eukaryota, Viridiplantae, Streptophyta, Magnoliopsida, Poales, Poaceae. The transcript has 3 exons. The record is from RefSeq and is a predicted model, not a curated record.
GCCCCUGCUCCCUCCGCCAGCAACGAUGCAGUAGCAAAACCAUUGGCAUGGUGUAUGAUUCCUUGCCUUCCGAUCCUGCCACCCAUAUUAUGUGUACCACCGAUAUUCUGUCCCCCAACGCCAAGUGCGCCGCCGCCGCCAUCCCCUUUCAAGCCGCACCCCAAGGAGUGCCUACCGUCGCUGAUGGGGCUGAUGCCAUGUAAGGAUUUCCUCACCAACAGCACCGCGCCCAAGCCUCCACGCCAAGGCAAGUGUUGUGACGGCGUCCGGUCACUCUUCCAAAAUUUUCCCAUCUGCCUUUGCCACGUGUUCAACGGCGGCGACCUAGACAAACUCAUGUCGGCACCCCUGGAUGGAGGCCAACUCUUUGGCCUCUCGUCUGCUUGUAACACCAGUCCGAGUGACUUUGUACCCUGCUACGAUGUGCCACCGAUGAGGGCCGCACCUACCCCUAAAGCUGCUCCAUAAUCGGCUCAAUAUCAGAACCAUUGCCGUAGUAGCAUUACAGAUGGAAGCUAAAGAUGUCGUAUGCCUAGAUUUGUUAGUAUCAUUCUUAGAAGAUAUAUAGUGCGAGUUUUUAGUUUGAUUAGGGAUGAUAUGUAGCUUCAUUUGUGUCAAUC